This 377-nucleotide unclassified non-coding RNA is filed under the name Hevea brasiliensis (rubber tree). The record is from RNAcentral. Lineage: Eukaryota; Viridiplantae; Streptophyta; Magnoliopsida; Malpighiales; Euphorbiaceae.
GGAGACUCUUUUGACAUAAGAGAUGCUAAUUGCAAAUGACUCAUUUAAAAGCAGUAAGCUUGUUGAUCAUACUAAUUAGGCUUGAAUUCAUCCUGUUUCAACCAGUAAACCUUGACAAGAUCAAAUUUUGGGCUUUGUUUCAACUAUAUCGAGCUUUUAGUGCUGAUCUAGAUCUACCAAGUAGCUUUAAUAUGUAAAGUAAUUUCUUGUUCUAUGCUUUCAUAGUGCACUGUUUAAAUGAUUUCUGCGCCUGGUUGGGCAGCUUUGCUGUGGUACUGAGCACUUACCUGAUCUGUGACAUAUCCUCAUUUCCUAUUUUUCCCCUUGCUUUUUGCUGGCAUGACAUUUUCCUUCACUGAAAGGGAGCUGCUGUAUCA